Lolium rigidum is the source of this 1706-nucleotide long non-coding RNA. RefSeq lists it as uncharacterized. The record is from RefSeq and is a predicted model, not a curated record. The transcript has 5 exons. Lineage: Eukaryota; Viridiplantae; Streptophyta; Magnoliopsida; Poales; Poaceae.
GGCGCCGCUCUCCUCCUUGGAGGCGUCUCCAUCAAGCCCUCCCCUUCAGUAUCUUGAGGCAUGAAGACAACCACGCUCUGCCGGUCAUGGGUGCGCUUUGCUUUGGCAUGGGAGUUUUGUUGGUUCGGAUCAGUCUUGGCAUCGUGCCCUUGCAUCAGUGGACAACGCUCUCUCGACGAGUUCGAGCUCUCUGCCUAGUAUAGCUAGUGUAGUGUAGCCUGCCUUUCUGCCUCUCUGUUGCUCCCUUUGCUGUCAACCCCAGCGGCUCGUUGUUUUUCUUUCUUUUCAUGCUUUCAUACCUCCUGGCCAGUUGAUGGCUUUGUUAAUUCAAAGUCGGGCUUUCGAGCCUUAUGUUUAAAAAAUCAUGUCCCUUCUGUAAGCACGUCUGGCAUGACACCCUGUCCCCCCUUAGGCUCACCUGUGACCCUCCCGACGGUGAACCCUCCCUCAUUGACUGGUUGCUCGCCGCGAGACAGGCGACGCCCAAGCUGAUGUGCAAAGGCCUGGCUACUCUGACGCUACUUGUCCCCUGGCUGAUCUGAAAACACUGCAACUCCUGCGUCUUCGACGGAGAACAGUCCUCGGUCCAGCAAGUGAAUGAUCAGAUCAGGGUAGAGGUGACGGUUUGGGACAGAGCUGGGGCACUUGGUCUUCGUGGAUUCUUGCCAACAGACUAGGAUGUUCAUUGAUCUGUUGUAAUGAUAAGUUGUAAUCCUCCUUGGAGGCUUGUAUCUGUAACAAACUCUUCUUUGCAAUGAAAAGAAACGCAAUGUCAUUGCGUUUUCUCUGGGAAAAAAAAGUUCAUUGAGCAAGCUAUAUGGGUUUGCAGACUGUUGAAACUGUAUGUACUUCAUAGUGGAAGCAUACUUUUAAAUUUAGAGCAGAUUGUCACUAUGGAGUUCUAGUUCUGUACUUAUCUUCAGACUUUAUUUAGUUACUAGCAUAGCUAAGCAAAUAUUUCUAUCUCUUGGCAAGAGACAUGGUUUGGAUAGAGUUUAUAAUUUUACAAUUUAUCAGUUCUAAAGAUCUAAAAAUACAUACCGUGAUGUUAUGCAGAUCGUGGAGAUUUGUACUCUUGGGGUUCGAAUGAAAAUGGUUGCCUUGGUCUUGGGGGGACAGGCAUAGUUCGCUCCCCAGAAGUUUUAAGGAGUUCAUUAUUUAAGCUUCCUGUGUCUAAGGUAUCCUGUGGUUGGAAGCACACAGCUGUAAUUUCAGGUGAAGAUAUUUACACAUGGGGUUGGGGAGGUGCCAAUGGUACGUUCUUCGAAGAGGGCCAUUCUUCUGGUGGGCAAUUAGGGCAGGGAAACGAUGUUGACUAUUUUGAGCCGAUGAUGGUGAAAUUUGGCAAGAAUGCAAGAGCAGUUCAUGUAUCAUGCGGCUUCAAUCAUACCGGUGCUAUACUCGAGUACAAGAACUAACUACCGUGCCAUGUACAGGACUGUAACUGUAAGUGCAAUCGGGCAUGUUUGGUACUACGAAGUUAUACCUGCACAUAUAGAAAAAAAAAGCUCACCUUGGAUGAGUGUACGUGGAUGAACUCGUAUAACGGAACGGGAUGCAAGCCAGAUGCUUUGCACCCACCAGAGUUACAGUUUAGUUUAGCUGUAUAGUGUUCUUCCAUAUAUUUUCGUCCCCAUCUUGAAUCUGUCAUAUUUGACGGCCUGCAAACACAAUUUUAACCAAAAUAAAUCAUGUCUCUACAGUUA